GAUGAACGCUGGCGGCGUGCCUAAUACAUGCAAGUCGAGCGAAUGGAUUAAGGGCCUGCUCUUAUGAAGUUAGCGGCGGACGGGUGAGUAACACGUGGGUAACCUGCCCAUAAGACUGGGAUAACUCCGGGAAACCGGGGCUAAUACCGGAUAACAUUUUGAACCGCAUGGUUCGAAAUUGAAGGGCGGCUUCGGCUGUCACUUAUGGAUGGACCCGCGUCGCAUUAGCUAGUUGGUGAGGUAACGGCUCACCAAGGCAACGAUGCGUAGCCGACCUGAGAGGGUGAUCGGCCACACUGGGACUGAGACACGGCCCAGACUCCUACGGGAGGCAGCAGUAGGGAAUCUUCCGCAAUGGACGAAAGUCUGACGGAGCAACGCCGCGUGAGUGAUGAAGGCUUUCGGGUCGUAAAACUCUGUUGUUAGGGAAGAACAAGUGCUAGUUGAAUAAGCUGGCACCUUGACGGUACCUAACCAGAAAGCCACGGCUAACUACGUGCCAGCCGCCGCCGUAA
Molecule: ribosomal RNA, 515 nt
Filed under: uncultured bacterium
Lineage: Bacteria
Description: partial 16S ribosomal RNA
Rfam family: Bacterial small subunit ribosomal RNA
Source: RNAcentral